ACGAUGUGCUAGGGGUGCUCUAAUUGAGCUGAGAAAGAUGUCAUCUUAACUCUUUGAACCUGAAGUGGUUAGUACCAACGAAGGGAAGCUAUUUUAACUUAUG
RNAcentral lists this non-coding RNA (103 nucleotides) under Staphylococcus chromogenes. Its description in RNAcentral is "TPP sequence". It matches the Rfam family "TPP riboswitch aptamer (THI element)". From Rfam's summary of the family: Vitamin B(1) in its active form thiamin pyrophosphate (TPP) is an essential coenzyme that is synthesised by coupling of pyrimidine and thiazole moieties in bacteria. The previously detected thiamin-regulatory element, thi box was extended, resulting in a new, highly conserved RNA secondary structure, the THI element, which is widely distributed in eubacteria and also occurs in some archaea. The record is from RNAcentral. Lineage: Bacteria; Bacillati; Bacillota; Bacilli; Caryophanales; Staphylococcaceae.